Molecule: ribosomal RNA, 423 nt
Filed under: uncultured euryarchaeote
Lineage: Archaea; Methanobacteriati; Methanobacteriota
Description: bacterial SSU rRNA
Rfam family: Archaeal small subunit ribosomal RNA
Source: RNAcentral
CCUACGGGGGGCAGCAGUCGCGAAAACUUCACAAUGGGGGAAACCCCGAUGAGGGAAUUCCAAGUGCCAGCACAUUGUGUUGGCUGUUCUCUGGUCUAAAAAACCGGAGAAGUAAGGGCCGGGUAAGACGGGUGCCAGCCGCCGCGGUAAUACCCGCGGCCCAAGUGGUGGUCGAUAUUAUUGAGCCUAAAACGUCCGUAGCCGGUCUUGUAAAUCCUUGGGUAAAUCGACCAGCUCAACUGUUCGAAGUCCGGGGAGACUGCAAGACUUGGGAUCGGGAGAGGUGAGAGGUACUUCUGGGGUAGGGGUAAAAUCCUGUAAUCCUAGAAGGACCACCGGUGGCGAAGGCGUCUCACUAGAACGAAUCCGACGGUGAGGGACGAAGCCCUGGGGCGCAAACGGGAUUAGAUACCCCCGUAGUCC